Leptidea sinapis is the source of this 535-nucleotide long non-coding RNA. RefSeq lists it as uncharacterized. NCBI's taxonomy places the organism in Eukaryota, Metazoa, Arthropoda, Insecta, Lepidoptera, Pieridae. The transcript has 3 exons. The record is from RefSeq and is a predicted model, not a curated record.
AUUACUUGCUAAACAUUGAUGCGCAUCAAGCUGUAACUGCGCUAUACUCUCCCUAGAAGACCGACCUUUGCGAAAACCAAACUGAUUAUUAGGCAAAAGACAAUUUUGUUCUAUAAAGAACUCGAGACGUUGUUUUAGAAGCUGCUCAAAUAUCUUCCCAACACAAGACGUGAGAGCUAUAGGUCUAUAAGAGUCAGCAUUUAAAACUGCUUCUGUACACCUCUGAUUCCACCAAGGCAACCAAGGAUAUUUAAAAGAUUUUUGUGAACAAGAACUAGUAACAUUAUUACUAUUAGAACUUUUGGAAAACAGACAGCUAGGGAUUGACUGCUUGGCAGCAGAAAGUAAAAUAUUACAAAAGGAAUUAAAAGCAUCUAUUGAAGAUAAAGUGUCAAAUUUAACAUCAUCCAAAUAAGAAACAACUAAGUUACUAUACAUAUUCCAAUUCACCUGCUUAUAAUUAGGGGAGAUGAUAACUACUGCCCAGAGGACUGUCAAUAACUGACCAGUCACAUAAAAGAGCCAAAGAUGGAUA